GUGAACGAGCGACGCCGCGUGGGUGAAGAAGGCCUUCGGGUCGUAAAGCCCUUUCGGACGGGACGAACGCUUCGCGGUGAAAGCCGCGAAGUCUGACGGUACCGUAGGAAGAAGCACCGGCUAACUCCGUGCCAGCAGCCGCGGUAAUACGGAGGGUGCGAGCGUUGUUCGGAAUUACUGGGCGUAAAGCGCGUGUAGGCGGCCUUGCAAGUCAGGCGUGAAAGCCCUCGGCUUAACCGGGGAAGUGCGUCUGAAACUGCUUGGCUUGAGUACGGGAGAGGGAGGCGGAAUUCCCAGUGUAGAGGUGAAAUUCGUAGAUAUUGGGAGGAACACCGGUGGCGAAAGCGGCCUCCUGGACCGAUACUGACGCUGAGACGCGAAAGCGUGGGGAGCAAACAGGAUUAGAUACCCUGGUAGUCCACGCGGUAAACGAU
RNAcentral lists this ribosomal RNA (434 nucleotides) under uncultured anaerobic ammonium-oxidizing bacterium. RNAcentral's name for it is "bacterial SSU rRNA". It matches the Rfam family "Bacterial small subunit ribosomal RNA", at positions 383 to 810 of the family's 1533-position model. The record is from RNAcentral.